UACGGAGGGUGCAAGCGUUAUCCGGAUUCACUGGGUUUAAAGGGUGCGUAGGAGGGCAGGUAAGUCAGUGGUGAAAUCCCCGAGCUUAACUUGGGAACUGCCGUUGAUGCUAUCUGUCUUGAAUAUUGUGGAGGUGAGCGGAAUAUGUCAUGUAGCGGUGAAAUGCUUAGAUAUGACAUAGAACACCAAUUGCGAAGGCAGCUCGCUACACAUAUAUUGACUCUGAGGCACGAAAGCGUGGGGAUCAAACAGG
This 253-nucleotide ribosomal RNA is filed under the name uncultured bacterium. RNAcentral describes it as "partial 16S ribosomal RNA". It matches the Rfam family "Bacterial small subunit ribosomal RNA", at positions 524 to 776 of the family's 1533-position model. The record is from RNAcentral.